This 111-nucleotide small nucleolar RNA is filed under the name Cricetulus griseus (Chinese hamster). RNAcentral's name for it is "U8 small nucleolar RNA". The record is from RNAcentral. Lineage: Eukaryota; Metazoa; Chordata; Mammalia; Rodentia; Cricetidae.
GACAGGUAGAGGGGUUUUGUCAGGUCCUGAUUACAUGGAAAUGCAAGCUCCGGCCAUCAUUUUCUAACUGUCCUCUGAGACGAGGAGUAAGUGAGGUUUAACUUCUGAUGA